AACAAAGUCAUGUGUUUUUGUUGUGAUUCUUCAUCUCUCGUUUUUAUUGCAUCAAUUUUCAACAAUUUACAAAAUGAGUUCCGGUGUCAUUCUAGCUGGUUUGGCUUUGGCCGCCAUCGGUUAUGGAGGUCGAGCAUUGAUGCGUUCAUCUAAAACGAUCGGUGAUACAUUAUCCAAAUCGAUACCUUCUUCAGCAUUUAGUAAUAGUAAAUAUUAUAGAGGUGGAUUUGAACCAAAAAUGACGCGCCGUGAAGCUGGUCUUAUAUUGGGUAUUAGUCCAUCGGCUAGUAAGAAUAAAUUACGUGAAUCACAUAAACGGAUCAUGUUAUUGAAUCAUCCGGAUCGAGGUGGUUCACCUUAUUUAGCUGCCAAAAUAAACGAAGCAAAAGAUUAUCUAGAAAAAAAUUCUCGUCCAGGACAAUAAUCAUCUACGAUUGUCAUAAAUCAUAAACAUGCUUUUUCAUUGGAAAAUAUUACAGAUUUCUGUUAAUAAUAUGGCAGAUGAAGCUUCAUGAAAAUUUGAAUAAAAGUAAAUUUGGCACGAGAAUAUUCAUCAAUUCUGUCGGUCAUCAUUAUAUAAAUUGUGUGGCCGAUAUGCAUUGGACAUGACAUGAUGCACACACACACACACACACAAUUUCGCAUAUUAAUUAAUUGACAUAUCAUUUUCAUUUUAUUCAAUAUCACAUGGGAAUAAUGCAGAAUUUCUGAAUGAAUGAUGACAACUAUAAAAAACCAUAACAAAAGAAGAUGAAAAAAUGACAUUAUGUAUAAUUUUAUAAUUUUCAAACAAAUUGUUAUUUUUCUACUACUUCUCAAAUGUCUAAUUAUAAUGACAAUAUUGAUCAUUAUGAUCAUAAUAAUCAUUAUUAUGAUUGGUGCACUGAAUACAUUAAUUUUUUGAAAUUCUACCAAAAAAAAGUCAUUUGUACUUGAUUAACAAAUUCAGCCUUCUUUUUGUUUCUCUAACCUUCCCCCAAUCAUAAUCAUCUCAGGUUAAAUCUGUGGGUGUAUGGGUUGAACAACAAAAUCAACUAAAAGUUUUUAUAAUUA
RNA transcript from Dermatophagoides farinae (American house dust mite), 1053 nucleotides. It is a transcript of the gene named mitochondrial import inner membrane translocase subunit TIM14, with no coding region annotated. The record is from RefSeq and is a predicted model, not a curated record. Lineage: Eukaryota; Metazoa; Arthropoda; Arachnida; Sarcoptiformes; Pyroglyphidae.